GUUGGUGAACCAGCGGAGGGAUCAUUACAGAGUUGUAAAACUCCUAAACCCAUGUGAACAUACCUCUGUUGCCUCGGUGGCCUACCCUGUAGUCCACCGAAGGAUUAAAAAACUCUUUUAUUAUUGUAUCUCUGAGACAAAAACAAAUAAGUUAAAACUUUCAACAACGGAUCUCUUGGUUCUGGCAUCGAUGAAGAACGCAGCAUCUGACUGACUGAACUGUAU
Molecule: unclassified non-coding RNA, 225 nt
Filed under: plant metagenome
Description: partial contains small subunit ribosomal RNA, internal transcribed spacer 1, and 5.8S ribosomal RNA
Source: RNAcentral